Stomoxys calcitrans (stable fly) is the source of this 1017-nucleotide long non-coding RNA. RefSeq lists it as uncharacterized. The record is from RefSeq and is a predicted model, not a curated record. The transcript is spliced from 2 exons. Lineage: Eukaryota; Metazoa; Arthropoda; Insecta; Diptera; Muscidae.
GCCACCUCCUGGGGUUUUAUUUUAUUUUUUUACGCAAUAUUUGGAUAUUUGCUUUGAUUUGUGUUGUGGUUGCUACUUUUGCCGAGGAUGAUUUGGCUACGGAUGACAUACGCCAAAUGAGUAGGGCCAUUCACAAUGGUGAUUCAGGGAUGAUCUUUCGACGGCCAAAGGGUGGCAAAUAGUUGACAUGGCGAAAACAGGGAUGUUCACUGCCAGUUGAGAGAAUCGAGGCGUGGGCAAGAACGCGUGGUUAAUGUUCUUUCCCAGCGGAACUCACAAGCUGACAACAUCUCUGACAAGUGAUUUUUAAGUCAACCUCAGCCACAGCACAAAGUGUUAAAUAAAAAGAAAGAAAUUAUAACAUUUUCUAAGCUUUGUAAUUUUUUUUUGUGUUUUGUGUGAAUAAAGAGAUAGGCUCUUUCAAUAUAUGCAUGCGCCCUCUGAGGGAUAGACUGGGACCCACGUGUUGCCCUCGUUAUAUGCUGCCGACCGAGAGGUGAGGUUAGGUGUUGAAAAUCACAAGUUAAGAGAGCACAUGGUGUCUACGCUAGGAAAGGAGAAGCUAUAAAAAGGUAAAGGCGUUGAAACCUGGCAUAAGAUUAGGCGCAUUCAAAGUCUUACAAUAGCGUCAAAAAGUCUACAUAUACUUACCUUUAUGCUUAAUUUGGUCCGAAAUUCGUUUCAUGUGUUGUCCAUAGUUUUCUGUUUUGACACUUGUCAGAAAAUAGGUACCUUCAAGUAUUAUAUUACACUACAAAUACUCCGAAGGUACCACAUAAAUGGUAGCUGUAUUAAAAAAAAAAAAAAAAAAAAAAAGAACCGGCACAACAAUAUAAAUUAAGCUAACAUGUACUAAAAGAGAAAAAUAACACCAAGAGAAGAAAAAAAAUAGACUUACGAAUAUAUCACAGACUGUUUAUUGCACUGAAAGAAAAUAUUGCAUAAGAAAUAUAUUGCACUGACAGAAAAUAUUACAUAAGAAAUAUAUUGCACUGACAGAAAAUAUUGCAUAAGAAA